RNAcentral lists this ribosomal RNA (457 nucleotides) under uncultured bacterium. RNAcentral describes it as "bacterial SSU rRNA". It matches the Rfam family "Bacterial small subunit ribosomal RNA", at positions 30 to 478 of the family's 1533-position model. The record is from RNAcentral.
AUUGAACGCUGGCGGAAUGCUUUACACAUGCAAGUCGAACGGCAGCACGGGAGCUUGCUCCUGGUGGCGAGUGGCGGACGGGUGAGUAAUAUAUCGGAACGUAUCUAUUAAUGGGGGAUAACUAGCCGAAAGGUUAGCUAAUACCGCAUACGCCCUGAGGGGGAAAGCUGGGGAUCUUCGGACCUGGCGUUAAUAGGGCGGCCGAUACCUGAUUAGCUAGUUGGUGGGGUAAAGGCCUACCAAGGCGACGAUCAGUAGCUGGUCUGAGAGGACGACCAGCCACACUGGGACUGAGACACGGCCCAGACUCCUACGGGAGGCAGCAGUGGGGAAUUUUGGACAAUGGGGGCAACCCUGAUCCAGCCAUUCCGCGUGAGUGAAGAAGGCCUUCGGGUUGUAAAGCUCUUUCGCAAGGGAAGAAACGAUGUAAGUGAAUAGCUUAUGUUAAUGACGGUAC